This 5525-nucleotide long non-coding RNA is filed under the name Glycine max (soybean). Its description in RNAcentral is "long non-coding RNA (GMAX_LNC002430)". Lineage: Eukaryota; Viridiplantae; Streptophyta; Magnoliopsida; Fabales; Fabaceae. The record is from RNAcentral.
AACUUACUACCUAACCUUUUUUCAUAUUAACGUGGUGCUGAUUUUACUGAUUGCAAUGCUUUGAUUUCUCUUUUAUCCCUGCUCUUAAAAACGUAUCUUUGAAAGUAAUCUGCAAUCACUUUUUCUUUUCUUUUCUUUUCUACAGAUUAUACUUUUAUUUGAUACUUAUAUAAAUAAUUUAUUUCAUAUUAGUUUAACACUUCAACUUAUUAACUCAUUUUAGAGAAAGUAAAUGUCAUAUCUUGUUUCUGAAUAAAAUCACAACCUAAUUUUCUCUGCUGAUUUGCUUUUAUUCUAGUUUAAUGUUUUUAUUAAUAGCAAAUAAAUAUAUUUUUGCUGAUUUACUUUUAUUUUAGUUUAAUGUGGCGUAAACAUCACGUAAUGGCAAAUAAAUUUAAUUUUAGUUUAUCAUGUACUAGUAUAAUUAUACUUCUUUUCUUUUUGUAGGCAAACAAAUGUUAAAUUUUUUUUUAAGAUAUUUAAUCUACUUAUUUUUUUGUAUAUAACACUUUCUUUACAAUGUUUUAGUAGUAAGCUACCAGUAGAUUUUUCUCUUUCCGGCAUCAGGGUGGUAGGUGGUGUUGGAAAAUAAAACAAAAAAUGAAGGAAAAUAAUAUACGAAGAAGAUGCACAGUCUUGAAUUAAAUAACAAAAUAGCAGUAGCGAAUUAAAUUUAAUUAACAGCACAUGAAUAAUGCAUUAUAACAUAAAAUAAGCACAAGAAAAAAAAAUUAAGGGAAGAAAGAUAUAGCCUGGGUUGAAGCGCAUAAACGCUAUCCUUAGAGAGAAAACGCCCCCACUGCACGGGUAAGAAAUUCUGAUUGCGCUCCUCUCCCAAGAUACGACAACCCGUUGGUUCCGAUCGUGUGCAGCGAAAGGAUCCCCGAACCUUAUGAACACCAAUGCUCUUGCUCUCACAAAAAUUAAGUUUUGUAUAGGAAAAGAAAGAGAUAAAUUGUUGGCAGAAAGAAACCACAGCUCUCAGUCUAUCAUGUCUAGAAAAGAGGAAAGAGAUAUAUAUAUAGGCAUUUUGCAACAACAAGAUAUGACCGUUGGAAAACCAACCUACAGUUGUCAAAACAAAUCUAACAAACUAGUUUGACUCAUUAAAACAAAAUCUUAAAAAAAUCUAAAAUAAAUAUUUUAUUUUAUAAAAUAGAAUUAAUAUAUAUUUAUAAAUUUUAAAUUAAAACACAAAUAUUUAUCAACAUUCCCCCACAUAAUUUAAAAUUUUAAAAUAUAUUUUCUGAAAGAUAAUUUGUAUAAAAAUAUAAGAGAAAGAGCAUGUGAUAUUGUAUUUCGGUAUAAGGAACCUUCUGGGUUUGAGCCUUAUACCUAGUGUUUAUGAACUUCCAUCCGAGAAAAAUGUAGUAACUUGAUUGUCUUGAACUACAUAUUCUUUAACCGGACUUUAGUACACAACCCCUACAAUAUUGGUGUUCAAUUAGGUUCUAAUCAGUGGUAGCGCGUUACACGGCCUUGCGCUUGUAUCUUGUUUCGUGAGUGUCCUUUAGAGAUUAGCCCAUAUCUCACAGUGGCGGCCCCACCACCACACUCACUAGGUGAAUCCUCAAAGAGUGGGUUGUGACCCCCACCCCUACAAUAAUUGUCAUCGGAUUCAUUAAGAGGUAUUUUUUUUUUAACCAAAAAUACACAUAUAUAAAUACCUCAACCUUAAUAUUGCCACAAUUUAUAAUACACCUCGUCAUAGGAAUGAGAAACGGAACAGCUCCGUCAAAUUUCAUUUUGGUGUACUUUAGUCAACAAACAAUUUCGUUGUUACCCGUUGAACUCCAUUCAUGGGAUCACCAAUCACACGGAGACGGGUGUCCAUUGUUGUAACUAAAUAAUGGGCUUUAAUCUCAUUCCCCUCGACGACUCAAGUACUUGUUGACGCAUCAACCCUUUUGUAAGCGGAUCCGCAAUAUUAUUUUUUGACCUGACAAAGUCAAGAGAAAUGACAUCAUGAGAAAUCAAAUUUCUUAUAGACUUAUGUCUCACUCUUAAGUGUCUUCUUUUUUCAUUAAAAUUUUGCUUGUCACUUUAGAUAUAGCAAUUUGACUAUCACAAUGCAUUGAAAUUGGAGGUAUAGGCUUAUUUAACAAUGACAAAUCACAUAAUACAUUUUUAAGAAAUUCAGCCUCACUAGUAGCAGUAUUUAAAGCAAUAAUUUUUGCUUUCAUGGUAGAACGUGAAAUAAUAGUUUGUUUAGCAGAUUUCCAUGAUACUGCACCACCAGCUAAAGUAAAAACAUAACCACUUGUUGAUUUUGUUUCAUCAGAAUCAGAAAUUCAAUUUGCAUCACUAAACCUCUCAAUUACUGCAGGAAAACAUGUAUAAUGAAUGCCAUAAUUGAUGAUUCCUUUUAAGUAUCUAAAAACUCUUUCUAAUGCAAUCCAAUGAGAAUGAUCAGGAUUAUUAGUAUACCUUCCUAAUCUACCAACUGCAUAUGCAAUGUCAGGCCUAGAGAAGUUUGUCAAAUGCAACAAAGAACCGAUAAUUUGAGAAUAUUUAUGUGAAGAAAUUCCUUUACCCAAAUUUUUCUUUAGCUUGAUGGAUGAGUCAAAAGGAGUAGAAACAUGUUUCACAUCAAAAUAAUUAAACUUCUUUAAUAUAUAGAUUUUCAACAUAAUAAGAUUGGAUAAAAAAUCAUACCAUCAUUUUUUUUUUCUAUAAGCUUAAUACCCAAAAUCACAUCUACACAACCAAGGUCUUUCAUAUCAAAAUUUCUAGACAAGAAAAACUUCACAUCAUUUAUGAAAUUCAUUUACUACCAAAUAUCAAUAUGUCAUCCAGAUACAUAAAAUGACGCAUCCAUUAUCAUCAAAUUGUUUCACAUACACACAUUUAUCACUAUCAUUAAUUUGAAAAUCAUACAAAAGAAUAACUUAAUCAAACUUUCGUGUCAAUGCUUUGGAGCUUGUUUCAAACCAUACAAAGAUUUAACAAUUUAUUUUUCAAGAAAAAAUAUUUUCAAAGAAAGUCACAUCUAUAGACUCCAUAAUAGUACCAUUAGAAAUUUCAGAUACUUCGGAAUUAAUAACUAAGAAUCUAUAAGUAGUAUUAUGUAAAAAAUAUUCAACAAAAUAUAAUUAAUAUUUUUUUUUAAUUUUCCUUUUCUUAUUAAUAGGGAUAUUAACCUUUACUAGACACCCCCACACUUUAAGAUAUUUCAAAUUUGGUUCUCUUUUUCUCCAUAGCUCAUAAAGAUUUUUAUUUUUUUUUGGUUUAUAAGGUACUCUUUUAAGAAUACGACAUGCAAAAUAUAAAGUUUCACCAAAGUGUUUAUUUUAUUAUUUUUGUGUGUUAUAUUUUUCACAGGCUUAUCUUUUAUCAAUGAGUUAUAAAUAAAGAGACAAUCAGUCAACAUGUAACAACAAAAUACUUGCAGUAGUAAUAAUAACGUUAAACAAUAAAAAUUAAAAACCAAACAACAAAUGUCCUGAUUUUAAAGACUUGUGUUCACUGGAUCAUUUGACCAAGUAAAAGAUAGUUUUCUAAUCAUAUAGGAAUGAAAUUAGAAGUAUGGUUUUAGUUUUUCACAUAAACUAAUUCUAAAAGCAUUUUCUCUUCAAAACCGUCAUUAAUAAAGAAAAUAUAUUUUAAAUUUCAAAUUAUAAGAAAAUAUUUUUCAAUAAUCUCUCACUAAUGUAAAAUUUAAGGAAAUGAAAUAAUAUAAUAAAACAUUUUUAAUAAAACAUAAUACAUUGUGUUUUCAUCCAUUAAUUUUUCAUGCUUACUAGAAAGGAACUUAAUCAUAUCCAUUAUAGAUAUUUUGAUACAACAUCAUGCUACUGCACAAAAAACUAUGCAAGAAGAAAGUAUAAAACAUUUUCUCUCUAAAAUAAUUUUUCUCUCUAAGACUGUUGGAAAAUAAAAUAAAAAAUGCAAGAAAAUAAAUAUGAAGAAGAUGCACAGUCUUGAAUUAAAUAACAAAAUAGCAGUAGCGAAUUAAAUUUAAUUAACAGCACAUGAAUAAUGCAUUAUAACAUAAAAUAAGCACAAGAAAAAAAAAUUAAGGGAAGAAAGAUAUAGCCUGGGUUGAAGCGCAUAAACGCUAUCCUUAGAGAGAAAACGCCCCCACUGCACGGGUAAGAAAUUCUGAUUGCGCUCCUCUCCCAAGAUACGACAACCCGUUGGUUCCGAUCGUGUGCAGCGAAAGGAUCCCCGAACCUUAUGAACACCAAUGCUCUUGCUCUCACAAAAAUUAAGUUUUGUAUAGGAAAAGAAAGAGAUAAAUUGUUGGCAGAAAGAAACCAGAGCUCUCAGUCUAUCAUGUCUAGAAAAGAGGAAAGAGAUAUAUAUAUAGGCAUUUUGCAACAACAAGAUAUGACCGUUAGAAAUAUGACCGUUGGAAAACCAACCUACAGUUGUCAAAACAAAUCUAACAAACUAGUUUGACUCAUUAAAACAAAAUCUUAAAAAAAUCUAAAAUAAAUAUUUUAUUUUAUAAAAUAGAAUUAAUAUAUAUUUAUAAAUUUUAAAUUAAAACACAAAUAUUUAUCAACAGGUGGGUGUUUCAUAGGGCCAAAGGAGAACUUUUUAAUGCUGAUGCUAUUAAUAAAUAGAUGUAUAAUUGAGUCUUGACUCUUAAAGAUGGUUGGUGGUUGGUGCUAUUGUCAUUACCUAAUGCUAUAGGAUAUUAGUAUUAACAUUUAUAUACGCACGCCUGUAUUUACGUGACAAUUAAAACGAGUGUCUUGCUUGCAUUCACUCCUUAGACAAAAUUUUGUUUGAGAAAUUGAUGAUUAUCUGAAUGCGUGCAUGGUUUGGUCAUGAUUUUGCAGUCAGAAAUCCUCACGAGAUACCACCACCAACCCCAUGACCUCAACUACAACAUCGCCAGGGUCAGGGACAGUGACAGGAACAGGAUCCGAAGGGGCAGUGGUGUACACGGGUGCAGACAACGGCGUUGUGUAUAAUACAGUUACGGGUUCCGGCUCAAGUUCAGUAACCGGAGGAGAAACAAUGCUCCCAGAUGGGUCAUAUCUAGCUGGUUUAGCCAUGGGAGACUCACCUAGAAGAACAGCUUCCACCGCUAGCUUUUUGCUUAUUCUCUUCCUACUGCUUUAGCUGCUGCACCAGCAUUGUAGAUUUUGUUUGUUUGUUAAAUGUAAAUGGCUCUUAGAUUUUCGGGUUUUUCGUGGUGGGUUCAAGAAUUUUGGCUUUGCCAGUAAAGCCUGCAGAUUCUCACUCAUUGUAAACCACCCGCCCAAAGAUUCGCCAGAAAAAAUAUUCCGUGUUUCAUUCGUUGAAGUGCUUGUUUUUAUAUUAGUAUUAUCAAUCUUGGGAGCAUUUAGCUCCCCCAUCCAAGCUUUUUUGAGCUUCUAUGAUUGUUGUGGUUUAAAAAAAGCUAACACAUUUCUGCAAUUUUGGGCUGGCUUUGUGGGUUUCACAUGUAUGUUGGCUAUGGCUUUUAAUUUGGUUUCUCAAUUCUCACCAACGACAAAAGCCAGAUCUUUUUGCAUGAUGUGAACUAUCUGUCAAGUGUCUCGUCUUCCGUCUGAAUUAGGAUUCACUUUGCG